Molecule: ribosomal RNA, 389 nt
Filed under: Mirabilicoxa sp. VTDes107
Lineage: Eukaryota; Metazoa; Arthropoda; Malacostraca; Isopoda; Desmosomatidae
Description: partial 16S ribosomal RNA
Rfam family: Bacterial large subunit ribosomal RNA
Source: RNAcentral
UAAGGUAGCAUAAUAAUUUGUUCUUUAAUUAAGAACUGGAAUGAAAGGGGUGACGAUGCUGAAGUUAUUAUAGCAUUCAAGGGAAAUUGAUAUUUGCUUCAAAAAGAGCAAAUAACUGGGGGGACGAUAAGACCCUAUAAAACUUUUAUUUGAAAAUUUGUUGUUUAAUUUAGAUUUUAAAAAUUAUAUUUGUUGAAUUAAGCUGGGGCGGCAAUUAAAAGACCUUAAAAAAUAUAACACUUAUUGGUGAUAAUUUAGAUCUUUAAAUUAAGAGAUAGAACAAGUUACUUUAGGGAUAACAGCACAAUUCUUUCUUAUAGACCGCAUAGAAGAAAGAGACUUGUGACCUCGAUGUUGAAUUAGAAGGGCCUGAACUGAGUAAAACAGUU